Long non-coding RNA from Hippocampus zosterae (dwarf seahorse), 475 nucleotides. RefSeq lists it as uncharacterized. The transcript has 2 exons. The record is from RefSeq and is a predicted model, not a curated record. Lineage: Eukaryota; Metazoa; Chordata; Actinopteri; Syngnathiformes; Syngnathidae.
ACAAGAUGUGGUAUGUGACACCGAGUGUGCAUGUGUGUGUGGAUCCAGUGGAGCAAAGCAUCCAGGUUGCUCCACUGGAUCCUUUGUUAAAAUUUCAUGUGUAUUUUAGGCAAGAUCCGUAAUCAGCUGCAUAUAAGCUCUUUGGGCAUUGAACUCACACAGUAUAACGCUUCCAGUUUCAUAAUCAUGAGCACUCUUGUACUGCCACCAGGCCUCUAGUUUAUGGUAAAUUGUACCUCCGACAGGGCGGCCCGGUAGUCCAGUGGUUAGCACGUCGGCUUCACAGUGCAGAGGUAUCGGGUUCGAUUCCAGCUCCGGCCUCCCUGUGUGGAGUUUGCAUGUUCUCCCCGGGCCUGCGUGGGUUUUCUCCGGGUGCUCCGGUUUCCUCCCACAUUCCAAAAACAUGCAUGGCAGGCUGAUUGAACACUCUAAAUUGUCCCUAGGUGUGAGUGUGAGCGUGGAUGGUUGUUCGUCU